RNAcentral lists this ribosomal RNA (908 nucleotides) under Halomonas sp. AST. RNAcentral's name for it is "bacterial SSU rRNA". It matches the Rfam family "Bacterial small subunit ribosomal RNA", at positions 30 to 936 of the family's 1533-position model. Lineage: Bacteria; Pseudomonadati; Pseudomonadota; Gammaproteobacteria; Oceanospirillales; Halomonadaceae. The record is from RNAcentral.
UUGACGUGGGCGGCAGGCUUACACAUGCAAGUCGAGCGGUAACAGGUCUAGCUUGCUAGACGCUGACGAGCGGCGGACGGGUGAGUAAUGCAUAGGAAUCUGCCCGAUAGUGGGGGAUAACCUGGGGAAACCCAGGCUAAUACCGCAUACGUCCUACGGGAGAAAGGGGGCUUCGGCUCCCGCUAUCGGAUGAGCCUAUGUCGGAUUAGCUAGUUGGUGAGGUAAAGGCUCACCAAGGCGACGAUCCGUAGCUGGUCUGAGAGGAUGAUCAGCCACAUCGGGACUGAGACACGGCCCGAACUCCUACGGGAGGCAGCAGUGGGGAAUAUUGGACAAUGGGGGCAACCCUGAUCCAGCCAUGCCGCGUGUGUGAAGAAGGCCUUAGGGUUGUAAAGCACUUUCAGCGAGGAAGAACGCCUGGCGGUUAAUACCCGCCAGGAAAGACAUCACUCGCAGAAGAAGCACCGGCUAACUCCGUGCCAGCAGCCGCGGUAAUACGGAGGGUGCAAGCGUUAAUCGGAAUUACUGGGCGUAAAGCGCGCGUAGGUGGCUUGAUAAGCCGGUUGUGAAAGCCCCGGGCUCAACCUGGGAACGGCAUCCGGAACUGUCAGGCUAGAGUGCAGGAGAGGAAGGUAGAAUUCCCGGUGUAGCGGUGAAAUGCGUAGAGAUCGGGAGGAAUACCAGUGGCGAAGGCGGCCUUCUGGACUGACACUGACACUGAGGUGCGAAAGCGUGGGUAGCAAACAGGAUUAGAUACCCUGGUAGUCCACGCCGUAAACGAUGUCGACCAGCCGUUGGGUGCCUAGCGCACUUUGUGGCGAAGUUAACGCGAUAAGUCGACCGCCUGGGGAGUACGGCCGCAAGGUUAAAACUCAAAUGAAUUGACGGGGGCCCGCACAAGCCGUUUA